UUCGCCCUUUUCCGGUUGAUCCUGCCGGACCUGACUGCUAUCGGAUUGAUACUAAGCCAUGCGAGUCAUUGUAGCAAUACAAGGCAGACGGCUCAGUAACGCGUAGUCAACCUACCCUAUGGACGGGAAUAACCUCGGGAAACUGAGUAUAAUGCCCGAUAGAACACUAUACCUGGAAUGGUUUGUGUUUCAAAUGAUUUAUUGCCGUAGGAUGGGACUGCGGCCUAUCAGUUUGUUGGUGAGGUAAUGGCCCACCAAGACUAUUACAGGUACGGGCUCUGAGAGGAGUGGCCCGGAGAUGGGUACUGAGACACGGACCCAGGCCCUAUGGGGCGCAGCAGGCGAGAAAACUUUGCAAUGUGCGAAAGCACGACAAGGUUAAUCCGAGUGGUUUCUGGCUAAAGGA
This 406-nucleotide ribosomal RNA is filed under the name uncultured archaeon. RNAcentral describes it as "bacterial SSU rRNA". It matches the Rfam family "Archaeal small subunit ribosomal RNA", at positions 1 to 403 of the family's 1478-position model. The record is from RNAcentral.